This 290-nucleotide ribosomal RNA is filed under the name uncultured bacterium. RNAcentral's name for it is "partial 16S ribosomal RNA". It matches the Rfam family "Bacterial small subunit ribosomal RNA", at positions 336 to 643 of the family's 1533-position model. The record is from RNAcentral.
UUCCUACGGGGGGCAGCAGUGGGGAAUAUUGCACAAUGGGGGAAACCCUGAUGCAGCGACGCCGCGUGAGUGAAGAAGUAUUUCGGUAUGUAAAGCUCUAUCAGCAGGGAAGAAAAUGACGGUACCUGACUAAGAAGCCCCGGCUAACUACGUGCCAGCAGCCGCGGUAAUACGUAGGGGGCGAGCGUUAUCCGGAUUUACUGGGUGUAAAGGGAGCGUAGACGGUAGAGCAAGUCUGAAGUGAACGCCCGCGGCUCAACUGCGGGACUGCUUUGGAAACUGUUCAACUG